RNAcentral lists this ribosomal RNA (109 nucleotides) under Eimeria sp. RNAcentral's name for it is "large subunit ribosomal RNA". Lineage: Eukaryota; Apicomplexa; Conoidasida; Eucoccidiorida; Eimeriidae. The record is from RNAcentral.
UUUCUAAAAACUGAUAAAAUUCCUUCAUAUUGACUAUGCUGACUUGAGUAACGGAAAUACAAUAGAUUCAGCUAUCCAUGGUGAUAAGAUUCGUAAAUACCGGUCAUUA